Molecule: ribosomal RNA, 254 nt
Filed under: uncultured bacterium
Lineage: Bacteria
Description: partial 16S ribosomal RNA
Rfam family: Bacterial small subunit ribosomal RNA
Source: RNAcentral
UACGGAGGGGGCAAGCGUUAUUCGGAAUUAUUGGGCGUAAAGGGCGCGUAGGCGGCUAGAUGUGUCAAAGGUGAAAUCCCUCGGCUCAACUGAGGAACUGCCUUUGAAACUGUCUGGCUUGAGGCCGGGAGAGGGUAGCGGAAUUCCCAGUGUAGCGGUGAAAUGCGUAGAGAUCCGGAAGAACACCGGUGGCGAAGGCGGCCCGCUGGGAUACUUGCUGACGCUGAGGCGCGACAGCGUGGGGAGCAAACAGG